CAAAGCAGGACAGGACAGGACAGGACAGGACAGGACCUUAUCUCUGAGUACUAUGGAACUGCAGAGUGCAGCGUGCAUGAGGACCUGAAAAUGCGGUUUGAGGAUCUAGCCUAUGCUCGCCAUGAACCAAAUGCGUGGGCAUCAUCAUCAAGGGAAUCCAGUGCUUACAGAUCUUGACAAUCUGGCCAGAAUCUCCAGUAUCCAUCCAAUCUUUUGAUGAAGACUUUUUGUGGGACUCAAUGCACUGCGCCCAAAACCAACUGCCAAGUUAAUAAGCCUCAACAACAAGUUUCUCGCAAAGAUUGUUGGCCUUGCACUGAAAACAGACGGAAGUUUUGUUGUUUCUUUUGAGGAAUGUUGUACAUUUUCUUGGCCUGAUGUGUGAUUUUUCAGACUGUUGUACCUGAAGGCCUUUCAAGGAUUGUUUGUGGGACUCCGCACUGGGUCCUCAACUAACCUCCAUGGUCAUUAGUUUCACUAACAAGAUUUUAAGUGUGGACAGUGAAACAUGACAGUCACCCUUGCUGUCACAAACAGAUAUUUUUUCUGUUAAUGAACAUUUUUCUGUUAUGAUCAAGUGUUUUAAUAGUCACUGAAAUACACUGUCACAAUAUUGUAUCAAGCUGCAGUUGGUAAGCUGAAGUUGUAGUAUGUAAAAUGUUUUAUUAAGAUUUAAAAGGAAAAUCUGACAAUAUUAAACCAUAACUCACAAUGUAUAAAAACACCUACAGUUGCAGCUUCUGCCUUCUAGCACAGCUUUUGUUCUGUUACCAGUGAUGUCAAAUGAUGCCUGAGGCAGACUGUUAGCUGUAAUUUUUGAAAUAGUAAAAUUUGUCCCUUCAAGAUUACUGUUUAUACACAGAAGAGGUGCUGGAAAGGUGUUCUACUACACAUAGGCUGUGGUCAGAAGAUUGUGUCAAUAAUUUUGCAUAACUGCAUUUAAUGGCUUUUAAUAAAUGUUGGAAACCGA
Long non-coding RNA from Micropterus salmoides (largemouth bass), 970 nucleotides. RefSeq lists it as uncharacterized. NCBI's taxonomy places the organism in Eukaryota, Metazoa, Chordata, Actinopteri, Centrarchiformes, Centrarchidae. The transcript has 2 exons. The record is from RefSeq and is a predicted model, not a curated record.